GGCGGCAUAGCCAAGCAGUAAGGCAGCGGUCUGCAAAACCGCUAUACCCGGGUGCAAAUCCCGGUGCCGCCU
This 72-nucleotide transfer RNA is filed under the name Caldifarciminota bacterium. RNAcentral describes it as "tRNA-Cys". It matches the Rfam family "tRNA". From Rfam's summary of the family: Transfer RNA (tRNA) molecules are approximately 80 nucleotides in length. The record is from RNAcentral. Lineage: Bacteria; Pseudomonadati; Caldifarciminota.